AAAAGAACUUUGGAGAGAGAGUUCAAUAGACCGUGAAACCGUUGGGAGGGAAGCUCAGGGUGGCGAGGUUGUCGUGCUCUGUCGGAGUUCAGCUGGCGGUGGUCAGGUUGCUGACCGCUGCCGGUGCAUUCUUCGGCAGAGUUGGACCGUCAGUUGGGAAGAGACUGGGACCUGCUAUAUCGGCGGUCGGGAGGUAAGCCCUGCGGUUCCUCUGGGUGCCCGGGGUGACAUACAGCCGUUCUGCCGUGGUCCCGGCCGUCUUUCAGGUGUGUUUGGAUGUCUGUUCGUCCAGAAUGGGAAGGUGCAGACUCCCCUCGUGGGAGUUCGGGCCGUCGCCGGAGUUGCUUCGUCGAGCUGAGUUGUGUUCCGUACCCUCUCCGUUACGCUUCGGCUGGCGGAGAGGUGUCGGCACAACCGGCACGUGUCGUUGCCUGUCGGAGUCGUGUCCAAGUUCUGUGCCGAGGUGACUGGCGAAGAGUCGUUACCCUGUGCCCCGUCUUG
RNAcentral lists this small RNA (501 nucleotides) under Haliclona sp. GW33417. Its description in RNAcentral is "sequence contains 28S rRNA gene". Lineage: Eukaryota; Metazoa; Porifera; Demospongiae; Haplosclerida; Chalinidae. The record is from RNAcentral. RNAcentral also lists the same sequence under 2 other names.